UGCUGGUGUUUUACCACAGCGUGGCCCACCCGUUCCCAUUCCGAACACGGAAGUGAAAGCGCUAUGGCCUGAUGAUAGUCUUCGGGCGAAAGUAGGGUAUGCCGGCAA
Molecule: ribosomal RNA, 108 nt
Filed under: Candidatus Wolfebacteria bacterium RIFCSPHIGHO2_01_FULL_48_22
Lineage: Bacteria; Candidatus Wolfeibacteriota
Also listed under: 1 other name
Source: RNAcentral